This is a long non-coding RNA of Solea solea (common sole), 1797 nucleotides long. RefSeq lists it as uncharacterized. The record is from RefSeq and is a predicted model, not a curated record. Lineage: Eukaryota; Metazoa; Chordata; Actinopteri; Pleuronectiformes; Soleidae. The transcript has 2 exons.
UGGACUGGAAGGCUAACACCAGUGCUGUGUACAGGAAGGGGAUGAGCAGGCUCUUCUUUCUGAGGAGGCUGUGAUCCUUUGAUGUAUGCAGCGAGAUGUUGGAGUAAUUUUACCAGUCUGUUGUGGCCAGCACACUGUUCUUUGCUGUGGUGUGCUGGGGGAGCAGCACCAUCAUUGGCUGCAAACAGGACACAGUGGAAACGGUGGUGGAAAGGAGGAUGCUAAAUAAGCUUUUUUCCAUCACGGAUAACCCCGAUCAUCCUCUCCACCACAUCCUCCAGGCCCAGGAGAGCACAUUCUCCAAGAGAUUCAGACAGCUCCGCUGUCACAAGGACAGAUUCAGGAAGUCAUUCCUGCCACCAGCCAUCAAGACUUACAAUAAAAAACGUGCACAUUUUCUCUCCGUGAAACACGUGCACAUUUUCUCUCCGUGACAUACGUGGAGUGAACGCCGUGUCUGCUCCGUCAAACAGCUGAUUUCAGUCACUCGGUCACGUCUGUCACUGAAUGAAACGCUGCUGCUCCCCUCCUCUUCCUCCUCCUCUCCUCACCUCCAGUGAAAACACACUGUGCUCUUAUCAUCCAUGGCUCUCAUCAUGACUCUCCCCUGCACUCAGGCUCUUGCAAACAUGGCCGCAGCGUCGGUGACGUCAUGAGCUGGCGCGCAGCUACGACAUCCGUUAUUACUAAAAUGAACAGAUCUCUGUAUCUUCAAAAUUAGGUCAACAAGAAGAUGCUUUUGAUUAAAGGUUUUUUGAAGACAAUGGUGAAGUGCUGAGGCUUUUUAAGGAGGAAGGAUUUCCUUAUGGUUUAGUAUUCUAUUCCUAACUAAUGAAAGGCAACCUGUGAAUUCAUACUUAUCAGUGUAACUUUACAUGCAUGGAGUUGAAUUAAUAAGUAACAAAUGUACCAGAAUGUCAGAAAAAGGAAAAUAACACAGAACUCUCACUUCAAAGACGUCAGUGGUCUUCUUAAAAUGUACUAUAUCGAAGGAAAUGAGAGAACUUUAUCUUAUUUUACUCUUCAAUCCAACAAAUGUUUAUCCAAGGAUUCCAAAUGUGUUUCCAGGAUUUUAGAUAUCAGUGACAAAUGCUCUGUCUGUAAGAUCGCAAUAAAAACAUGUAUUAAAGUGAUACAAUGUAGUAUCUCUAACCUUCAAAUAAUGUCUCCAAAGACAUUUUGAAUUGAUUGUGACCCUAAGCCCUGGUCAUAUGCUGUUAAAUUAAAUUUGUUCCAAUAACAUUUGUAUACGUGCAGAGGGUGAUCCACACGUAUUUCUUGAUUUGUGUUUCACGUUUUGAGAUCCACAAAUAAAUAAAAAAUCCCAUUUGAUUUUUAAAAAUAUAGAUCUGUAUUUGUAAAUAAUAUGACAUUUGUAAAACUGGAAAUUGCAUUUGUGAAUUUGGAUUCCGCAUUUGUGGAUCGCCAGCACACGCAUCCCUCUCUUUCCACAGUUAUGGAUUUUUGAGACUAGCAUUUGUCUCAAUAAUGCCUCCCUGCAUCAGCAGGUGGCACUGUUUUACAAGUAGAAUCUAAAGGCUUAGGCACAUAGAUAUACAUAAUAAAGGCUAGAUCUUCUUAUGUCUUAUGGUGCUCUGCUACUCACAUGCUUUGUAAGUAUGUACUGAUGUGUGUUUAGCUUUGAAACAGUCAUUCAUUGUUGAUAUUUCACCCUUCAGAGCGGUGAUGGGGAUAGAUACAGAGCACAUACACAUACAGUAUGUUCACUUAUGAAAUGUCCAGUGUAAUAAAGGACACCAUGUGUGUGUGUGUGUUCACAGGUGUGCUUCUAAACUC